GUCACCUUAUUGGCUACCGGAGUCGUUGACUUCCGGAAACAUUGAGGUUUAGCUCUCUGAAUACAUCCAUGAGGUUCAAACAGAACUGAUGAAAAUGCGUUCAUUUCUACCUGCAGUGGCCGAACAGCUUUUCAGAGAUAUUCAAAAAACAUACCAGGAAACGUCCCAAAUUCCUGACGACCUGCUUAUUGCGCUGAAGUUUGUCUUCGGACCUUGUGCACUGCAGGCUUUGGACCUUGUUGACCAGCAUUCAGUCACCUGUCUGUCGUCUCCCAGUGGACGCAAAGCAUUCCAGGUAAUGGGAGGCUCGGGUCGUUUGUACACCUGCUUUGUGUCCUGUCACUACUGCCCGUGCCCGGCCUUCGCCUACACCGUGCUCCGCAGAAACGAGGGCCCGCUGUGCAAACACAUCCUGGCUGUCUACCUGUGUCAGGCCAUGGGUGUGACUCAGCAGGAGAGCGUGUCUGAUCAGCAGAUGUCCAUGCUGCUCAGUGGGACAGCAGAGCCGUGACACCCAGCCCUUGAAGUUAGUCAGAGGUGGUACACUGGACACAGCCGCAAAUGAGGGGAGAUAGUGAAGCAGUGGAGGCAAGUGCUCAACACUUACACCAACACAACAUGGUUCAACACCACCAAUAUAGCACAUCAAACGGGAAAUAAUGGAAAAUGUCAGUGCAAUGUGUUUUCAUUUGUGUAGUGAUGGCUCUCAAGGGACUAAAUUCACCCUCAUUUCUUUCACAUAAGUUACAAGACUCCAAACAAAACUCUGCUUUGCUCUGAUUUAAAUUCACGAGACCUUUUUUUUGUGAUUUUUCAGCUGUCACCCCCCUGCCUUCAGUUUUAGAAGCUCAACAGGAACAUGCACAACAACACUAACCCUGCAAAAAAGCCGUGUUGCCUCGAACUAUGAUGCUGCAUGCGAGCACCGUCGAGUGCAAAGAACAGCUCGUCUCAGUUCAGUCAGUGACUUCAGCAGCUUGUGGACAACUGACUGCGCUAACGGGGCAGAUGAGAGCCUCGGGAUGCCAGCUGAGACUGUGUCUGAGGGAAGGGGGUGGUUGUCAGCUGGACUCAUAAGGCAAGUGACAUUUCAUUUACACCCAACUG
Sebastes umbrosus (honeycomb rockfish) is the source of this 1107-nucleotide RNA transcript. It is a transcript of the gene named zinc finger, SWIM-type containing 7, with no coding region annotated. NCBI's taxonomy places the organism in Eukaryota, Metazoa, Chordata, Actinopteri, Perciformes, Sebastidae. The record is from RefSeq and is a predicted model, not a curated record. The transcript has 7 exons.